GUGGGGAAUAUUGGACAAUGGGCGAAAGCCUGAUCCAGCCAUGCCGCGUGUGUGAAGAAGGUCUUCGGAUUGUAAAGCACUUUAAGUUGGGAGGAAGGGUAGUAACCUAAUACGUUGCUACUUUGACGUUACCGACAGAAUAAGCACCGGCUAACUUCGUGCCAGCAGCCGCGGUAAUACGAAGGGUGCAAGCGUUAAUCGGAAUUACUGUGCGUAAAGCGCGCGUAGGUGGUUCAGUAAGUUGGAAGUGAAAUCCCCGGGCUCAACCUGGGAACUGCUUUCAAAACUGCUGAGCUAGAGUACGGUAGAGGGUGGUGGAAUUUCCUGUGUAGCGGUGAAAUGCGUAGAUAUAGGAAGGAACACCAGUGGCGAAGGCGACCACCUGGACUGAUACUGACACUGAGGUGCGAAAGCGUGGGGAGCAAACAGGAUUAGAAACCCUUGUAGUCC
RNAcentral lists this ribosomal RNA (450 nucleotides) under uncultured bacterium. RNAcentral describes it as "partial 16S ribosomal RNA". It matches the Rfam family "Bacterial small subunit ribosomal RNA", at positions 354 to 796 of the family's 1533-position model. The record is from RNAcentral.